UCGCGCCUACGGGGGGCAGCAGUGAGGAAUAUUGGUCAAUGGACGAGAGUCUGAACCAGCCAAGUAGCGUGAAGGAUGACUGCCCUAUGGGUUGUAAACUUCUUUUAUAUGGGAAUAAAACAGGGUAUGCAUACCCUCUUGUAUGUACCAUAUGAAUAAGGAUCGGCUAACUCCGUGCCAGCAGCCGCGGUAAUACGGAGGAUCCGAGCGUUAUCCGGAUUUAUUGGGUUUAAAGGGUGCGUAGGCGGUUUUUUAAGUUAGUGGUUAAACGUCGGGGCUUCACCUUGAUUUGCCAUUAAUACUGU
This 305-nucleotide ribosomal RNA is filed under the name uncultured bacterium. RNAcentral's name for it is "bacterial SSU rRNA". It matches the Rfam family "Bacterial small subunit ribosomal RNA", at positions 333 to 636 of the family's 1533-position model. The record is from RNAcentral.